ACAGGGAUUGCCUCAGUAACGGCGAGUGAAGCGGCAAGAGCUCAAAUUUGAAAGCUGGCUCCUUCGGGGUCCGCAUUGUAAUUUGCAGAGGAUGCUUCGGGAGCGGCCCCCAUCUAAGUGCCCUGGAACGGGCCGUCAUAGAGGGUGAAAAUCCCGUCUGGGAUGGGGUGUCCGCGCCCGUGUGAAGCUCCUUCGACGAGUCGAGUUGUUUGGGAAUGCAGCUCUAAAUGGGUGGUAAAUUUCAUCUAAAGCUAAAUAUUGGCCGGAGACCGAUAGCGCACAAGUAGAGUGAUCGAAAGAUGAAAAGCACUUUGAAAAGAGAGUCAAACAGCACGUGAAAUUGUUGAAAGGGAAGCGCUUGCGACCAGACUCGCCCACGGGGUUCAGCCGGCAUACGUGCCGGUGUACUUCCCCGCGGGCGGGCCAGCGUCGGUUUGGGCGGCCGGUCAAAGGCCCUCGGAAUGUAACGCCCCCCGGGGCGUCUUAUAGCCGAGGGUGCCAUGCGGCCAGCCCAGACCGAGGAACGCGCUUCGGCUCGGACGCUGGCAUAAUGGUCGUAAGCGACCCGUCUUGAAACACGGACCAAGGAGUCUAACAUCUACGCGAGUGUUCGGGUGUCAACCCCGUGCGCGCAGUGA
This 638-nucleotide ribosomal RNA is filed under the name Penicillium oxalicum. Its description in RNAcentral is "eukaryotic LSU rRNA". It matches the Rfam family "Eukaryotic large subunit ribosomal RNA", at positions 68 to 722 of the family's 3401-position model. Lineage: Eukaryota; Fungi; Ascomycota; Eurotiomycetes; Eurotiales; Aspergillaceae. The record is from RNAcentral.